This 395-nucleotide ribosomal RNA is filed under the name uncultured bacterium. Its description in RNAcentral is "bacterial SSU rRNA". It matches the Rfam family "Bacterial small subunit ribosomal RNA", at positions 30 to 423 of the family's 1533-position model. The record is from RNAcentral.
AUUGAACGCUGGCGGCAUGCUUUACACAUGCAAGUCGAACGGCAGCACGGGUGCUUGCACCUGGUGGCGAGUGGCGGACGGGUGAGUAAUGCAUCGGAACGUGUCCUAAAGUGGGGGAUAACGCAUCGAAAGAUGUGCUAAUACCGCAUAUUCUGUGAGCAGGAAAGCAGGGGAUCGCAAGACCUUGCGCUGAUUGAGCGGCCGAUAUCAGAUUAGCUAGUUGGUGAGGUAAAGGCUCACCAAGGCGACGAUCUGUAGCGGGUCUGAGAGGAUGAUCCGCCACACUGGAACUGAGACACGGUCCAGACUCCUACGGGAGGCAGCAGUGGGGAAUUUUGGACAAUGGGCGCAAGCCUGAUCCAGCCGUGCCGCGUGAGUGAAGAAGGCCUCGGUGU